Molecule: ribosomal RNA, 508 nt
Filed under: uncultured bacterium
Lineage: Bacteria
Description: partial 16S ribosomal RNA
Rfam family: Bacterial small subunit ribosomal RNA
Source: RNAcentral
AUUGAACGCUGGCGGCAUGCCUUACACAUGCAAGUCGAACGGCAGCGGGGGAGAAGCUUGCUUUUCCUGCCGGCGAGUGGCGAACGGGUGAGUAAUACAUCGGAACGUGCCCUGUAGUGGGGGAUAACUAGUCGAAAGAUUAGCUAAUACCGCAUACGACCUGAGGGUGAAAGUGGGGGACCGCAAGGCCUCAUGCUAUAGGAGCGGCCGAUGUCUGAUUAGCUAGUUGGUGGGGUAAAGGCCUACCAAGGCGACGAUCAGUAGCGGGUCUGCGAGGACGAUCAGCCACACUGGGACUGGGACACGGCCCAGACUCCUACGGGAGGCAGCAGUGGGGAAUUUUGGACAAUGGGCGAAAGCCUGAUCCAGCAAUGCCGCGUGUGUGAAGAAGGCCUUCGGGUUGUAAAGCACUUUUGUCCGGAAAGAAAUGGCUCUGGUUAAUACCUGGGGUCGAUGACGGUACCGGAAGAAUAAGGACCGGCUAACUACGUGCCAGCCGCCGCCGUAA